Molecule: long non-coding RNA, 738 nt
Filed under: Vombatus ursinus (common wombat)
Lineage: Eukaryota; Metazoa; Chordata; Mammalia; Diprotodontia; Vombatidae
Description: lncRNA (ENSVURG00010014429.1)
Source: RNAcentral
CUUGUUGGCACCGGAAGUCAGCCACUUCCGGAUCUCGUAUCGCUCUCUACUACCUGGACUCUUCUCCAGCCUUUAUGUGGUGUGGGCUCCGGGACGGACCAAGGGCUGACCCCGCUGGAGAGAGAGCUCCAACCUCUGAGAAGUCUGCCAAGGUGAACACGAUGGCUCCUGUGCUCCUGACCUCCAGGGAUCACCAAGCUUCUUGUGACAAUUUAUGUAGCAGCCCUUGCUAACGAUACGUGUACGACGCAUAGUGUGAGCGGUGCCCCUCAGCUGGUCUCAAGGACAAACACCCACCAGACCCUCCACCCUCAGCCUGCUGUCACCCAAUUAAUUCUUUAUCUCUCUGCAUUCGAAAGGCAGUCUAUGGGUAUGUUCUCGAAUGGCCUCAGAAAUUACUAAAAGCGUGAAACUCUCCCUACUUAGCUCCAGCACCCACCUUAGGAGAACUGGGGACAUCUCCUCAGCCAGGUUUCUUCUCUCCCUUCAUCUCCAACGGUGAAUUGAUUGGCCUUGACAAACAUCACUCUUACCAGCCAUGAGAUUUGUUAAUAGAAACAGAAAAAAUUUAACAGCACAUCAGCUACGAAGGGAAUUGGAGCCAAAGUCUUCCCGGUGCCCUGGGGAAAGGAGUCGCUGAUCAAGUGACAUUCCUCUUGCCGCCUCUGUCGUGGGCAGGAGGACGGGCGGCGUGCCCAUCGGCAGAUCCUUGGAGGUCUUCUUAUCGGUUGUCAUCUC